RNAcentral lists this ribosomal RNA (117 nucleotides) under Labrus bergylta (ballan wrasse). Lineage: Eukaryota; Metazoa; Chordata; Actinopteri; Labriformes; Labridae. The record is from RNAcentral.
GCUUACGGCCAUACCACCCUGAACACCCCGAUCUCGUCCGAUCUCGGAAGCUAAGCAGGGUCGGGCCUGUUAGUACUUGGAUGGGAGACCGCCUGGGAAUACCAGGUGCUGUAAGCU